Molecule: ribosomal RNA, 660 nt
Filed under: uncultured Bacteroidales bacterium
Lineage: Bacteria; Pseudomonadati; Bacteroidota; Bacteroidia; Bacteroidales
Description: bacterial SSU rRNA
Rfam family: Bacterial small subunit ribosomal RNA
Source: RNAcentral
UGCAAACUGAAGAUGGCGACCGGCGCACGGGUGAGUAACACGUAUCCAACCUGCCGAUAACUCCGGAAUAGCCUUUCGAAAGAAAGAUUAAUACCGGAUGGCAUACGAAUAUCGCAUGAUAUUUUUAUUAAAGAAUUUCGGUUAUCGAUGGGGAUGCGUUCCAUUAGUUUGUUGGCGGGGUAACGGCCCACCAAGACUACGAUGGAUAGGGGUUCUGAGAGGAAGGUCCCCCACAUUGGAACUGAGACACGGUCCAAACUCCUACGGGAGGCAGCAGUGAGGAAUAUUGGUCAAUGGGCGAGAGCCUGAACCAGCCAAGUAGCGUGAAGGAUGAAGGCUCUAUGGGUCGUAAACUUCUUUUAUAUGGGAAUAAAGUAUUCCACGUGUGGAAUUUUGUAUGUACCAUAUGAAUAAGGAUCGGCUAACUCCGUGCCAGCAGCCGCGGUAAUACGGAGGAUCCGAGCGUUAUCCGGAUUUAUUGGGUUUAAAGGGAGCGUAGGUGGAUUGUUAAGUCAGUUGUGAAAGUUUGCGGCUCAACCGUAAAAUUGCAGUUGAAACUGGCAGUCUUGAGUACAGUAGAGGUGGGCGGAAUUCGUGGUGUAGCGGUGAAAUGCUUAGAUAUCACGAAGAACUCCGAUUGCGAAGGCAGCUCACUAGACU